RNAcentral lists this ribosomal RNA (460 nucleotides) under uncultured bacterium. RNAcentral's name for it is "partial 16S ribosomal RNA". It matches the Rfam family "Bacterial small subunit ribosomal RNA", at positions 338 to 795 of the family's 1533-position model. The record is from RNAcentral.
CCUACGGGAGGCAGCAGUGAGGAAUAUUGGUCAAUGGACGAGAGUCUGAACCAGCCAAGUAGCGUGAAGGAUGACUGCCCUAUGGGUUGUAAACUUCUUUUAUAUGGGAAUAAAAUGUUCCACGUGUGGGAUUUUGUAUGUACCAUAUGAAUAAGGAUCGGCUAACUCCGUGCCAGCAGCCGCGGUAAUACGGAGGAUCCGAGCGUUAUCCGGAUUUAUUGGGUUUAAAGGGAGCGUAGGUGGGUUGUUAAGUCAGUUGUGAAAGUUUGCGGCUCAACCGUAAAAUUGCAGUUGAAACUGGCAGUCUUGAGUACAGGAGAGGUGGGCGGAAUUCGUGGUGUAGCGGUGAAAUGCUUAGACAUCACGAAGAACUCCGAUUGCGAAGGCAGUUCACUGGACUUCAACUGACACUGAGGCUCGAAAGUGUGGGUAUCAAACAGGAUUAGAUACCCCAGUAGUC